Molecule: ribosomal RNA, 301 nt
Filed under: uncultured bacterium
Lineage: Bacteria
Description: partial 16S ribosomal RNA
Rfam family: Bacterial small subunit ribosomal RNA
Source: RNAcentral
CAGUCGCCGCGGGAAUACGUAGGUGGCAAGCGUUGUCCGGAAUUACUGGGCGUAAAGCGUGCGCAGGCGGUUUUGUAAGACAGGCGUGAAAUCCCCGGGCUCAACCUGGGAAUGGCGCUUGUGACUGCAAAGCUAGAGUGCGGCAGAGGGGGAUGGAAUUCCGCGUGUAGCAGUGAAAUGCGUUGAGAUCGGAAAGAACACCAACGGCGAAAGCACUCUGCUGGGCCGACACUGACACUGAGAGACGAAAGCUAGGGGAGCAAAUGGGAUUAGAUACCCCAGUAGUCCCUGUCUCUUAUAA